UUUUAAAAUUUGAAAUCUUAUCCAUAAACCCCACUCCCCAACUCUAAAUCCUAAAACCUAAACACUAAGCCCUAAACCCUAAACUCUAAACCCUAAACCCUAAAUCCUAAACCUUAUCCCUUAACUCUAAACCCUAAACCCUAAACUCCACCUCUAAAUUCUAAACCCUAAACCCUAAACUCUAAACCCUAAACCCUAAAUCC
RNAcentral lists this long non-coding RNA (203 nucleotides) under Brassica napus (rape). RNAcentral's name for it is "long non-coding RNA (BNAP_LNC026500)". Lineage: Eukaryota; Viridiplantae; Streptophyta; Magnoliopsida; Brassicales; Brassicaceae. The record is from RNAcentral.